This 497-nucleotide ribosomal RNA is filed under the name uncultured bacterium. RNAcentral's name for it is "partial 16S ribosomal RNA". It matches the Rfam family "Bacterial small subunit ribosomal RNA", at positions 28 to 507 of the family's 1533-position model. The record is from RNAcentral.
GAUGAACGCUGGCGGCGUGCCUAAUACAUGCAAGUCGAGCGAACAGACGAGGAGCUUGCUCCUCUGACGUUAGCGGCGGACGGGUGAGUAACACGUGGAUAACCUACCUAUAAGACUGGGAUAACUUCGGGAAACCGGAGCUAAUACCGGAUAAUAUAUUGAACCGCAUGGUUCAAUAGUGAAAGACGGUUUUGCUGUCACUUAUAGAUGGAUCCGCGCCGCACUAGCUAGUUGGUAAGGUAACGGCUUUCCAAGGCAACGAUGCGUAGCCGACCUGAGAGGGUGAUCGGCCACACUGGAACUGAGACACGGUCCAGACUCCUACGGGAGGCAGCAGUAGGGAAUCUUCCGCAAUGGGCGAAAGCCUGACGGAGCAACGCCGCGUGAGUGAUGAAGGUCUUCGGAUCGUAAAACUCUGUUAUUAGGGAAGAACAAAUGUGUAAGUAACUAUGCACGUCUUGACGGUACCUAAUCAGAAAGCCACGGCUAACUACGUG